RNAcentral lists this ribosomal RNA (755 nucleotides) under uncultured cyanobacterium. Its description in RNAcentral is "bacterial SSU rRNA". It matches the Rfam family "Bacterial small subunit ribosomal RNA", at positions 28 to 829 of the family's 1533-position model. Lineage: Bacteria; Bacillati; Cyanobacteriota. The record is from RNAcentral.
GAUGAACGCUGGCGGUCUGCUUAACACAUGCAAGUCGAACGGAAUCUUUCGGGAUUUAGUGGCGGACGGGUGAGUAACGCGUGAGAAUCUGCCUUCAGGUUCGGGACAACAGCUGGAAACGGCUGCUAAUACCGGAUGUGCCGAGAGGUGAAACUUAAGUGCCUGGAGAUGAGCUCGCGUCUGAUUAGCUAGUAGGAGUGGUAACGGCACCCCUAGGCGACGAUCAGUAGCUGGUCUGAGAGGAUGAUCAGCCACACUGGGACUGAGACACGGCCCAGACUCCUACGGGAGGCAGCAGUGGGGAAUUUUCCGCAAUGGGCGCAAGCCUGACGGAGCAAGACCGCGUGAGGGAAGAAGGUCUGUGGAUUGUAAACCUCUUUUGAUAGGGAAGAAGACAGUGACGGUACCUAUCGAAUCAGCCUCGGCUAACUCCGUGCCAGCAGCCGCGGUAAUACGGAGGAGGCAAGCGUUAUCCGGAAUUAUUGGGCGUAAAGAGUCCGUAGGUGGGUAACCAAGUCAGCUGUUAAAUAGUGAAGCUUAACUUCAUAGAGGCGGCUGAAACUGGUUGUCUAGAGUGUGGUAGGGGUAGAGGGAAUUCCAGUGUAGCGGUGAAAUGCGUAGAUAUUGGAAGAACACCGGUGGCGAAAGCGCUCUACUGGGCUGCACUGACACUGAGGGACGAAAGCUAGGGGAGCGAAAGGGAUUAGAUACCCCUGUAGUCCUAGCCGUAAACGAUGGAUACUAGGCGUUGCCCG